AUGGUGGAUCUCAAGACCGCCGCCUACCAAGGCGACCACGUCCACGAAAACUUCCGCUACGAGGCGCUGCGGCGCUGUGCUGACGACCACAUCCGCGGCCCCUCCACCGUAAUGGAGCAUGAUAAGCAAGUGGAGAAGGAUUAUGAAGAGGAGGAAGAGAAUGAGGAGGACGAGGAUGAGCAAGGUACUGUGUUUGAGGAGGAAGAUUCUCAUUUUGAUGUCAAAGCACCAAGUGUUAUGCUAUGCAAAAUUGCAUUGUUUGGCUAUCAACGUUCAAUAUUUUUGUUGUAUAAAGUUCAAAGGAGGAGAUGCCCAAUUCUUUUCAUCACUAUGACCAUAUUUAAACCAUAG
This 351-nucleotide ribosomal RNA is filed under the name Triticum aestivum (bread wheat). RNAcentral's name for it is "partial small subunit ribosomal RNA". Lineage: Eukaryota; Viridiplantae; Streptophyta; Magnoliopsida; Poales; Poaceae. The record is from RNAcentral.